UGUAAGCGUAUACCAAAGUUGUUGCAGUUAAAACGCUCGUAGUCGGAAUUUGGCAGUUCCGGAUGUGUGCACGUCGUGUGCGCACUUCGCGGGGAUUGCUUUUGUGGUCUUGCGUAGGAUGAGGCACUUUUAUUAGUGAACGUCCUCACGCAACCACUUUUUACUGUGAGAAAAUCAGAGUGCUCAAAGCAGGCAUUUGCCGUGAAUGUAUUAGCAUGGAAUAAUAGAAUAGGACUUGGUUCUAUUUUGUUGGUUUGUUGGGACUGAGUAAUGAUUAAGAGGGACAGUUGGGGGCAUUUGUAUUUCGGUGCUAGAGGUGAAAUUCUUAGAUUACCGAAAGACAAACUGCUGCGAAAGCGUCUGCCAAGGUUGUUUUCAUUGA
RNAcentral lists this ribosomal RNA (382 nucleotides) under uncultured eukaryote. RNAcentral's name for it is "partial 18S ribosomal RNA". It matches the Rfam family "Eukaryotic small subunit ribosomal RNA", at positions 592 to 976 of the family's 1831-position model. The record is from RNAcentral.